ACGCUCACCUGGCAGGGGAGACACCAUGAUCAUGAAGGUGGUUUUCCCAGGGUUAGGUCCAUGCAUUGAAUUCCAGGUGCACUGACACACGCAAUUUCCCCAGAUGCGGGAAACCAGACUGCAUAAUCGGUGGGGAUUGUGUUUGCACUUUUCCCUG
Small nuclear RNA from Cebus imitator (Panamanian white-faced capuchin), 157 nucleotides. RefSeq annotates it as U1 spliceosomal RNA. The record is from RefSeq and is a predicted model, not a curated record. NCBI's taxonomy places the organism in Eukaryota, Metazoa, Chordata, Mammalia, Primates, Cebidae. The transcript has a single exon.